RNAcentral lists this ribosomal RNA (522 nucleotides) under uncultured bacterium. RNAcentral's name for it is "bacterial SSU rRNA". It matches the Rfam family "Archaeal small subunit ribosomal RNA", at positions 345 to 866 of the family's 1478-position model. The record is from RNAcentral.
AACCUCCGCAAUGUGAGAAAUCGCGACGGGGGGAUCCCAAGUGCCAUUCUUAACGGGAUGGCUUUUCAUUAGUGUAAAGAGCUUUUGGAAUAAGGGCUGGGCAAGACCGGUGCCAGCCGCCGCGGUAACACCGGCAGCUCUAGUGGUAGCAGUUUUUAUUGGGCCUAAAGCGUCCGUAGCCGGUUUAAUAAGUCUCUGGUGAAAUCCUGUAGCUUAACUGUGGGAAUUGCUGGAGAUACUAUUAGACUUGAGACCGGGAGAGGUUAGAGGUACUCCCAGGGUAGAGGUGAAAUUCUGUAAUCCUGGGAGGACCGCCUGUUGCGAAGGCGUCUAACUGGAACGGUUCUGACGGUGAGGGACGAAAGUUAGGGGCGCGAACCGGGAUUAGAUACCCGGGUAGUCCUAACUGUAAACGAUGCGGACUUGGUGUUGGGGUGGCUUUGAGCUGCUCCAGUGCCGAAGGGAAGCUGUUAAGUCCGCCGCCUGGGAAGUACGGUCGCAAGACUGAAACUUAAAGGAAUU